Molecule: long non-coding RNA, 2346 nt
Filed under: Xyrichtys novacula (pearly razorfish)
Lineage: Eukaryota; Metazoa; Chordata; Actinopteri; Labriformes; Labridae
Source: RNAcentral
UUUCACCGCGGGAGAGCCGUUACCGGAGCAGCAGAUAACCAGCUCCGCUUCCGCUGCUAUUAAUAACGCUGAUGACAUUCACUGCUGGAGAUAGACGGAACCGUCCUCUGCACUCUGAUAUGCACCGCCGUAUAGAUGGUAAACACGGAACAUAGACGGUACCGCGAAGAUAACUGAACACGAAUUGUUCUGUAGAGGCUUCAGAAAAUGAACGGUACCGUAGAGACAACCGAACUAAAACAGAGACAUCAGAAUCUGGACGCACCAUAUAGACACCGUUACAAAGACGGUGCCUUUAAGUCAUUCCAGCAUACACGUUAGCCGUUAGCUGUUAGUCAAAGUGAAACACACACAGGUAACUUUACGUUAGACUGGCUGGGCCAUCCAGGCUAACUUUACGUUACCGGAAAUGAGCAGAGAUGUAACACACCCGCUUGUCCGUCAGGUGUGACACAGUUAGUCAGGUUAGCAUGUUUGUGUUGAGGUAAAUAAAAGUGAAAUUGUUGUGUUCAUGUGUACAUUAUACAGGUAGAUAGAUUCAGGUGUUCUAGUGUUCAUCCUCCACCUGGGGCCUGUUUGCCUCUUUUCUCGCUCAGUGUCUCAGGUAUGAUAUUAACAGUUGACAAUAUUUUUCAUUUUCCCAUCUUUACAGCUUAACACCUGCACACCUGAAUUAAAUGAAACAGUUUAAACUAACUAUUAAUGUUUUUAUUGGUGUAGGCCUGAUAUACAUUAGUGAUGGGAAGAACUGUCCUUUUGACUGUACUGAAUCUUUAGAAUCCGUUCAUUAAAACAAUUUGUUCAAAUGAUUCGUUCACAGAAUCAGUCAGCGCUUCGGAGCCCCGUCCUGCCGGUGCAGUAAACCACUAGGUGACACAGCGGCGAGUUUGUUCAUUGAACAAGCCCCUCCCCUGCUGCUGAAGUCACAGCGUCGUUCACUGGGUGACACAUGUCGUUCAUUUGCCAAGUCCUGAAGGAAGUAUCACUCCCCUGUAGUGCUGGGCGAUAUGGAAAAAAAUGUAUAUCACGAUAUGGAUCAUUUUAUAUCACGAUAACGAUAUAUAUCACGAUAUAGCUAUGGUAUGCUUUCAGUUCUAUGAAAAAUUAAAGUGUAUACAGCUGCCCUAGUACAGUGCCAGUACAAGACCAGCACUUAAAACUAGAAAAAUGAAUAAAUAAAUAUGUGGCUGAAGUGCGUUCAUGUCUGUGCUCACCCAAAGUUAUGCAACACUCACAGAAAACGCCAAUAGUGUGAGCCAAAGCACUCCAUAAUAAUAAUAAUAAUAAUAAUAAUAAUAAUAAUAAUAAUAAUAAUAAUAAUAAUAAUAAAUUUAAUUUGUAAUGCGCUUUACAUUUACAAAAAAUCUCAAAGUGCUACAGUACCCAGUAAAAAAAGAGCAGCGACAACAAAAAAAGCAAUAGAAUGACAGUCACAGAUUAGCAUAAAAAAGAAUUUAAAAAAUUAAUAAUAUUUAGAGUUGCAAUGUAAGAGGCAAGGUAGUAAGAAAACUAACCAAAGGCUUUAUUAAAAAGGUAGGUCUUUAGGGCUCUUUUGAAGAGGUUGUUCACACUGCUAGAUGUUUCUCCUCCAAAGCUGCUCUCUGCCUCCAUCAUUGUUUACUUUACUCUUGAAGCACGUAGGAAGACCCGAGCAUGAAUCCGAGCGCUUUAUUCGCCUAUCAGGGGCAGACAGGUAAGGUUAGUGCUGGGCGAUAUGGAAAAAAAUGUAUAUCACGAUAUGGAUCAUUUUAUAUCACGAUAACGAUAUAUAUCACGAUAUAGCUAUGGUAUGCUUUCAGUUCUAUGAAAAAUUUAAGUGUAUACAGCUGCACUAGUACAGUACCAGUACAAGACCAGCACUUAAAACUAGAAAAAUGAAUAAACAAAUACGUGGCUGAAGUGCGUUCAUGUCUGUGCUCACCCAAAGUUAUGUAACACUUACAGAAAACGCUGAUGGUGUGAGCCGAAGCACUCCAUAAUAAUAAUAAUAAUAAUAAUAAUAAUAAAUUUAAUUUGUAAUGCACUUUACAUUUACAAAAAAAUCUCAAAGUGCUACAGUACACAGUAAAAAAAGAGCAGCAACAAUAAAAAAAAAGCAAUAGAAUGACAGUCACAGAUUAGCAUAAAAAAGAAUUUAAAAAAAAUAAAAUAUAUAGAGUUGCAAUGUAAGAGGCAAGGUAGUAAAAGCAUAAAGCAUAGAGGAAAACUAACCAAAGGCUUUAUUAAAAAGGUAGGUCUUUAGGGCUCUUUUGAAGAGGUUGUUCACACUGCUAGAUGUUUCUCCUCCAAAGCUGCUCUCUGCCUCCAUCAUUGUUUACUUUACUCUUGAAGCACGUAGCAAGACCC